RNAcentral lists this unclassified non-coding RNA (150 nucleotides) under soil metagenome. RNAcentral describes it as "partial internal transcribed spacer 1". The record is from RNAcentral.
CCGAGUUUACAACUCCCAAACCCCUGUGAACAUACCACUAUACGUUGCCUCGGCGGAUCAGCCCGCGCCCCGUAAAACGGGACGGCCCGCCAGAGGACCCCUAAACUCUGUUUCUUAGUGGAACUUCUGAGUAAAACCAUAAAUAAAUCA